GAUGAACGCUGGCGGCAGGCUUAACACAUGCAAGUCGAACGAGAUCUUCGGAUCUAGUGGCAGACGGGUGAGGAACACGUGGGAACAUCCCUUUCAGUUCGGAAUAACGUUGGGAAACUAACGCUAAUACCGGAUACGUCCUUCGGGAGAAAGAUUUAUCGCUGAAAGAUUGGCCCGCGUCUGAUUAGCUAGUUGGUGAGGUAACGGCUCACCAAGGCUACGAUCAGUAGCUGAUCUGAGAGGAUGAUCAGCCACAUUGGGACUGAGACGCGGCCCAAACUCCUACGGGAGGCAGCAGUGGGGAAUAUUGGACAAUGGGCGCAAGCCUGAUCCAGCCAUGCCGCGUGAGUGAUGACAGCCUUCGGGUUGUAAAGCUCUUUUGUCCGGGAAGAUAAUGACUGUACCGGAAGAAUAAGCCCCGGCAAACUUCGUGCCAGCCGCCGCGGUAA
RNAcentral lists this ribosomal RNA (449 nucleotides) under uncultured bacterium. RNAcentral describes it as "partial 16S ribosomal RNA". It matches the Rfam family "Bacterial small subunit ribosomal RNA", at positions 28 to 523 of the family's 1533-position model. The record is from RNAcentral.